GGCCCACAAAAGAAGGGCAGAAGAAGACAAAGGAGGAAAACAAGUGAAGGAAAUCCAAUGCCAAAAUGUCUCAAUAUUCAUAUUCAUAUUCAUAACAAAGAGAUUAUUAUAUUAAUUACAUGCUCAUAGGACUUUCUGGAUCAUUGAGUGCUGCAAUAGCUGUUUCAAUUUGUAUCUUCAAAUGAUCUUUCUCUUCUUCAUUUGCCUCAAUAAAGACAGUCUUGAGAAGCCUCCCUGAGACGCUUGUGAUAUUGGCUGUAAUGAUCUUAAGCUUCAAAGAUUCAAAUGCCUCACACAGUUUCACCAUUGUAUCUGUUCUUUUACUACAUGUCAAGCUCACUAGCAGAGUCUUUUCUCCUAUGUAUUCAACGCUCAUCUCAAGAUCUUCAAUUGGGCAAGUUCUAGAGCCACCAGAAUCAUAGAAUUGGUCAAUUUUCUUCUUCUUGGAUCUCAACAAAACAGGCAACUCUUGCUCAUACUCAUAACCAGGACUCUUCUUCAAUUUCCCAGAUUCCAAUUCCAUUAUCUCAGCUUGGAUUCUUCUCUCUUGUUCAUGCAGUUCUUGGAUGUAAUCAAUAGCAUCCUUGAUGAUGGAAGCUUUGUCCAUCUUGCUAAUGUUGGGGACCAC
RNAcentral lists this unclassified non-coding RNA (628 nucleotides) under Hevea brasiliensis (rubber tree). Lineage: Eukaryota; Viridiplantae; Streptophyta; Magnoliopsida; Malpighiales; Euphorbiaceae. The record is from RNAcentral.